CGAAGGGUGCAAGCGUUACUCGGAAUUACUGGGCGUAAAGCGUGCGUAGGUGGUCGUUUAAGUCCGUUGUGAAAGACCCUCGGGCGUCAACCUGGGAACUGCAGUGGAUACUGGGCGACUAGAGUGUGGUAGAGGGUAGCGGAAUUCCUGGUGUAGCAGUGAAAUGCGUAGAGAUCAGGAGGAACAUCCAUGGCGAAGGCAGCUACCUGGACCAACACUGACACUGAGGCACGAAAGCGUGGGGAGCAAACAGGAUU
RNAcentral lists this ribosomal RNA (257 nucleotides) under uncultured bacterium. RNAcentral's name for it is "partial 16S ribosomal RNA". It matches the Rfam family "Bacterial small subunit ribosomal RNA", at positions 526 to 779 of the family's 1533-position model. The record is from RNAcentral.